CGGACGGGUGAGUAACGCGUGGAAAACCUGCCGUAUACUGGGGGAUAACACUUAGAAAUAGGUGCUAAUACCGCAUAAGCGCACAGCUUCGCAUGAAGUGGUGUGAAAAACUCCGGUGGUAUACGAUGGUUCCGCGUCUGAUUAGCUUGUUGGUGGGGUAAUGGCUCACCAAGGCGACGAUCAGUAGCCGGCCUGAGAGGGUGAACGGCCACAUUGGGACUGAGACACGGCCCAGACUCCUACGGGAGGCAGCAG
Molecule: ribosomal RNA, 255 nt
Filed under: uncultured bacterium
Lineage: Bacteria
Description: partial 16S ribosomal RNA
Rfam family: Bacterial small subunit ribosomal RNA
Source: RNAcentral